Pinus taeda (loblolly pine) is the source of this 172-nucleotide non-coding RNA. The record is from Rfam. NCBI's taxonomy places the organism in Eukaryota, Viridiplantae, Streptophyta, Pinopsida, Pinales, Pinaceae.
CAGAGUGUAUGGAUGUGGAUAGAGAAGGGUUAGUAAACGGUAGAAAACCCAUUUAUUGUAUGUCAUUGGCUGUUCGAGAUUAAGCAGCUGUAAUUCGAUGGCCAUACUCAUUAAAUGGGUUGGCUGUUUGCUCUGUACCAGCCCUUCUCCUAUCCACAAUUGUACUAGUUUG